UCUAGGUCUUCCCAAAGUUUGGGGAGUUCGAGACUGUCGACGGAACGGAAGCAAGGAGCAGCGAGUCACUGACUCAGUGAGAGAAGAAAUAGAGCACGAGGAGCUGAGCGGAAGGAAGUAUGGCGGGACAAGAGGCUGGCUCGAAGCUUGUUAGAUUGCUUGCUUUCGUUGGCGCUGGAGUCGUCUGCACGGCUGCCAUAAACACGUGGAGGGAUGUCCAACGGAAAUUCCUGCAACAGAAGGCAGAAGCCUCCGAGAAGAAGUCCCCGGGUUUGGUAAAUAAUGCUGUCGAAUAAUAAUUAGGGUUUUCUCCAUCGUCGUUAUCAUCUGUAAUAAUUCUUCUUCCUUUUGAUCUGAAUUGUUAUUGUUGGGCUACUGAGAACUUCUAAAUGAAUCUUUUGCUUUUGAGGUUCUCUAGAAAUGUAUUACUUUUAAUAAUUACCUGAAAACUCUCCCUUCUGCUGAAUCUUGUAUAUUUGGAGUUCCCUAUAGAUAAGAAAAAAACGAGAGAUUAAUGUCUCAACCAAAUUUUAUGGAAUGGUAAUUGCUUCAUAUGGGAAUGCAUUUAAGCCCA
This is a long non-coding RNA of Nelumbo nucifera (sacred lotus), 574 nucleotides long. RefSeq lists it as uncharacterized. The record is from RefSeq and is a predicted model, not a curated record. NCBI's taxonomy places the organism in Eukaryota, Viridiplantae, Streptophyta, Magnoliopsida, Proteales, Nelumbonaceae.